RNAcentral lists this ribosomal RNA (497 nucleotides) under uncultured bacterium. RNAcentral's name for it is "partial 16S ribosomal RNA". It matches the Rfam family "Bacterial small subunit ribosomal RNA", at positions 28 to 507 of the family's 1533-position model. The record is from RNAcentral.
GAUGAACGCUGGCGGCGUGCCUAAUACAUGCAAGUCGAGCGAACAGACGAGGAGCUUGCUCCUCUGACGUUAGCGGCGGACGGGUGAGUAACACGUGGAUAACCUACCUAUAAGACUGGGAUAACUUCGGGAAACCGGAGCUAAUACCGGAUAAUAUAUUGAACCGCAUGGUUCAAUAGUGAAAGACGGUUUUGCUGUCACUUAUAGAUGGAUCCGCGCCGCAUUAGCUAGUUGGUAAGGUAACGGGUUACCAAGGCGACGAUGCGUAGCCGACCUGAGAGGGGGAUCGGCCACACUGGAACUGAGACACGGUCCAGACUCCUACGGGAGGCAGCAGUAGGGAAUCUUCCGCAAUGGGCGAAAGCCUGACGGAGCAACGCCGCGUGAGUGAUGAAGGUCUUCGGAUCGGAAAACUCUGUUAUUAGGGAAGAACAAAUGUGUAAGUAACUAUGCACGUCUUGACGGUACCUAAUCAGAAAGCCACGGCUAACUACGUG